RNAcentral lists this ribosomal RNA (1059 nucleotides) under Brachybacterium halotolerans subsp. kimchii. RNAcentral's name for it is "bacterial SSU rRNA". It matches the Rfam family "Bacterial small subunit ribosomal RNA", at positions 374 to 1444 of the family's 1533-position model. The record is from RNAcentral. Lineage: Bacteria; Bacillati; Actinomycetota; Actinomycetes; Micrococcales; Dermabacteraceae.
GCGGAAAAACUUAAUGAAGGAAGCCUGCUGGGGGAAGACGCCUUUCGGGUGUAAACCUUUUCAGCAGGAAGAAGCCAGAGUGACGGUUCCUGCAGAAGAAGGGCCGGCUAAUUACGUGCCAGCAGCCGCGGUAAAACGUAGGGCGCAAGCGUGUCCGGAAUUAUUGGGGGUAAAGAGCUUGUAGGUGGCUUGUCGCGUUUGCCGUGAAAACCCGAGGCUCAACCUCGGGCGUGCGGUGGGUACGGGCAGGCUAGAGUGUGGUAGGGGAGACUGGAACUCCCGGUGUAGCGGUGAAAUGCGCAGAUAUCAGGAAGAACACCGAUGGCGAAGGCAGGUCUCUGGGCCAUUACUGACACUGAGAAGCGAAAGCAUGGGGAGCGAACAGGAUUAGAUACCCUGGUAGUCCAUGCCGUAAACGUUGGGCACUAGGUGUGGGGGACAUUCCACGUUUUCCGCGCCGUAGCUAACGCAUUAAGUGCCCCGCCUGGGGAGUACGGCCGCAAGGCUAAAACUCAAAGGAAUUGACGGGGGCCCGCACAAGCGGCGGAGCAUGCGGAUUAAUUCGAUGCAACGCGAAGAACCUUACCAAGGCUUGACAUGCACUGGACAGCUGCAGAGAUGUGGCCUUCUUUGGAACUGGUGCACAGGUGGUGCAUGGUUGUCGUCAGCUCGUGUCGUGAGAUGUUGGGUUAAGUCCCGCAACGAGCGCAACCCUCGUUCCAUGUUGCCAGCACGUGAUGGUGGGGACUCAUGGGAGACUGCCGGGGUCAACUCGGAGGAAGGUGGGGAGGACGUCAAAUCAUCAUGCCCCUUAUGUGUUGGGGUUCACGCAUGCUACAAUGGCCGGUACAAUGGGUUGAGAUACUGUGAGGUGGAGCGAAUCCCAAAAAGCCGGUCUCAGUUCGGAUUGGGGUCUGCAACUCGACCCCAUGAAGUCGGAGUCGCUAGUAAUCGCAGAUCAGCAACGCUGCGGUGAAUACGUUCCCGGGCCUUGUACACACCGCCCGUCAAGUCACGAAAGUCGGUAACACCCGAAAGCGCGGGUGGCCCCAUCCCUUU